Molecule: ribosomal RNA, 668 nt
Filed under: uncultured bacterium
Lineage: Bacteria
Description: bacterial SSU rRNA
Rfam family: Bacterial small subunit ribosomal RNA
Source: RNAcentral
CAUAAGCGCACGGUUCCGCAUGGAACAGUGUGAAAAACUCCGGUGGUAUACGAUGAAUCCGCGUCUGAUUAGCCAGUUGGCGGGGUAACGGCCCACCAAAGCGACGAUCAGUAGCCGGCCUGAGAGGGUGAACGGCCACAUUGGGACUGAGACACGGCCCAAACUCCUACGGGAGGCAGCAGUGGGGAAUAUUGCACAAUGGGGGAAACCCUGAUGCAGCGACGCCGCGUGAGUGAAGAAGUAUCUCGGUACGUAAAGCUCUAUCAGCAGGGAAGAAAAUGACGGUACCUGAUUAAGAAGCCCCGGCUAACUACGUGCCAGCAGCCGCGGUAAUACGUAGGGGGCAAGCGUUAUCCGGAUUUACUGGGUGUAAAGGGAGCGUAGACGGCAGCGCAAGUCUGGAGUGAAAUGCCGGGGCCCAACCCCGGAACUGCUUUGGAAACUGUGCAGCUCGAGUGCAGGAGAGGUAAGCGGAAUUCCUAGUGUAGCGGUGAAAUGCGUAGAUAUUAGGAGGAACACCAGUGGCGAAGGCGGCUUACUGGACUGUAACUGACGUUGAGGCUCGAAAGCGUGGGGAGCAAACAGGAUUAGAUACCCUGGUAGUCCACGCCGUAAACGAUGAUUACUAGGUGUCGGGGGGCCAAGGCCCUCCGGUGCCGGCGCAAACG